GCAUAUCAAUAAGCGGAGGAAAAGAAACCAACAGGGAUUGCCCUAGUAACGGCGAGUGAAGCGGCAACAGCUCAAAUUUGAAAUCUGGCUUUCGGGCCCGAGUUGUAAUUUGUAGAGGAAGCUUUUGGCGCGGCACCUUCUGAGUCCCCUGGAACGGGGCGCCAUAGAGGGUGAGAGCCCCGUAUAGUUGGAUGCCUAGCCUUUGUAAAGCUCCUUCGACGAGUCGAGUAGUUUGGGAAUGCUGCUCAAAAUGGGAGGUAAAUUUCUUCUAAAGCUAAAUACCGGCCAGAGACCGAUAGCGCACAAGUAGAGUGAUCGAAAGAUGAAAAGCACUUUGAAAAGAGGGUUAAAUAGCACGUGAAAUUGUUGAAAGGGAAGCGCUUGUGACCAGACUUGCGCCGGGCUGAUCAUCCGGUGUUCUCACCGGUGCACUCUGCCCGGCUCAGGCCAGCAUCGGUUCUCGUGGGGGGACAAAGGUCCUGGGAACGUAGCUCCUCCGGGAGUGUUAUAGCCCAGGGCGUAAUGCCCCCGCGGGGACCGAGGCUCGCGCUCUGCAAGGAUG
This 562-nucleotide ribosomal RNA is filed under the name Canariomyces microsporus. Its description in RNAcentral is "partial 28S ribosomal RNA". It matches the Rfam family "Eukaryotic large subunit ribosomal RNA", at positions 38 to 625 of the family's 3401-position model. Lineage: Eukaryota; Fungi; Ascomycota; Sordariomycetes; Sordariales; Chaetomiaceae. The record is from RNAcentral.